GGAGAAUUAGUGCAGCGGAUAAAAACGUCGAUUUUGAAAAUCUUUCAUACAUUCAAUGAAAACAAAUAUCAGAAAUGUGAGUUUAACUUGAAAGCAUAUAGAAGAGUGUAAUGAGAAGAUAAAGCAAGUAAGGUCAUUUGCAAUAAAAGUAAAGAGCUUAAAGUAAAUGCACACCGAGUUUUAUAGUGGUUUGGUCAUCGUGAC
This 204-nucleotide long non-coding RNA is filed under the name Musa acuminata (dwarf banana). Its description in RNAcentral is "long non-coding RNA (MACU_LNC005839)". Lineage: Eukaryota; Viridiplantae; Streptophyta; Magnoliopsida; Zingiberales; Musaceae. The record is from RNAcentral.